Molecule: non-coding RNA, 207 nt
Organism: Pseudopodoces humilis (Tibetan ground-tit)
Lineage: Eukaryota; Metazoa; Chordata; Aves; Passeriformes; Paridae
Source: RefSeq, a predicted model, not a curated record
CCUGGCUGAACCCCAACUCUGCUACGUGCUGGACGCCGUCCUCUUCCUCAUCAUCCUCAUCCUCAGCGGGCUCUACCUUCGCCUCAGGCUCUCGAUGAGAGGAGCGGCUCGGAAGCCCCCCGAGGUCGAGCCCGUUUAUGCCGGUCUCAGCUCCGAUCACCCCGACACCUACGAGACCCUGCAGAUGAAACGUCCCUGACCCCCCCG